UGGCUCUCGCAACGAUGAAGAACGCAGCGAAAUGCGAUACGUAGUGUGAAUUGCAGAAUUCCGUGAAUCAUCGAAUCUUUGAACGCAACUUGCACUCUGUUCUGCAGAGUAUGCCUGUUUGAGAAUCUAUAGUAUUAUUCAACGGUAGUUGAGAUUUGGGCCGUGUUGAUAAACUGGCCUUAAAGCUAUAGCUCUGGGCGGCCGGCAUGGUGACGUUCUGAACCAGGGAGAUGAAGGGUUCGCCCACUUCCCCUGGGCCUCAUGAACUAGUGCAGGUUGUCUGAGACCCACUUUAUAUUUUUAAUCUUGGUCUCAAAUCAGGUAGGAAGACCCGCUGA
This 338-nucleotide unclassified non-coding RNA is filed under the name uncultured fungus. Its description in RNAcentral is "partial contains 5.8S ribosomal RNA and internal transcribed spacer 2". The stretch from base 1 to 128 matches the Rfam family "5.8S ribosomal RNA", at positions 22 to 154 of the family's 154-position model. Lineage: Eukaryota; Fungi. The record is from RNAcentral.